RNAcentral lists this ribosomal RNA (563 nucleotides) under [Candida] sp. ST-253. RNAcentral describes it as "eukaryotic LSU rRNA". It matches the Rfam family "Eukaryotic large subunit ribosomal RNA", at positions 62 to 639 of the family's 3401-position model. Lineage: Eukaryota; Fungi; Ascomycota; Saccharomycetes; Saccharomycetales. The record is from RNAcentral.
AAACCAAACAGGGAUUGCCUUAGUACGGCGAGUGAAGCGGCAAAAGCUCAAAUUUGAAAUCUGGCACCUUCGGUGUCCGAGUUGUAAUUUGAAGAUUGUAACCUUGGGGUUGGCUCUUGUCUAUGUUUCUUGGAACAGGACGUCACAGAGGGUGAGAAUCCCGUGCGAUGAGAUGCCCAAUCCUAUGUAAGGUGCUUUCGAAGAGUCGAGUUGUUUGGGAAUGCAGCUCUAAGUGGGUGGUAAAUUCCAUCUAAAGCUAAAUAUUGGCGAGAGACCGAUAGCGAACAAGUACAGUGAUGGAAAGAUGAAAAGAACUUUGAAAAGAGAGUGAAAAAGUACGUGAAAUUGUUGAAAGGGAAGGGUUUGAGAUCAGACUCGAUAUUUUGUGAGCCUUGCCUUCGUGGCGGGGUGACCCGCAGCUUAUCGGGCCAGCAUCGGUUUGGGCGGUAGGAUAAUGGCGUAGGAAUGUGACUUUGCUUCGGUGAAGUGUUAUAGCCUGCGUUGCAUGCUGCCUGCCUANACCGAGGACUGCGAAUUUUAUCAAGGAUGCUGGCAUAAUGAUC